Molecule: ribosomal RNA, 260 nt
Filed under: uncultured bacterium
Lineage: Bacteria
Description: partial 16S ribosomal RNA
Rfam family: Bacterial small subunit ribosomal RNA
Source: RNAcentral
UAGGACCUACGGGACGCAGCAGUGAGGAAUAUUGGUCAAUGGCCGCAGGGCUGAACCAGCCAAGUCGCGUGAGGGAUGACGGUCCUAUGGAUUGUAAACCUCUUUUGUCGGGGAGCAAGGCCCGCCACGUGUGGCGGGAAGGAGAGUACCCGAAGAAAAAGCAUCGGCUAACUCCGUGCCAGCAGCCGCGGUAAUACGGAGGAUGCGAGCGUUAUCCGGAUUUAUUGGGUUUUAAGGGUGCGUAGGCGGAAUGUUAAGUC